AACGAACGCUGGCGGCAUGCCUAACACAUGCAAGUCGAACGAGACCUUCGGGUCUAGUUGCGCACGGGUUCGUAACGCGUGGGAACCUGCCCUUAGGUUCGGAAUAACUCCCCGAAAGGGGUGCUAAUACCGGAUAAUGUCUUCGGACCAAAGAUUUAUCGCCUUUGGAUGGGCCCGCGUUGGAUUAGCUAGUUGGUAGGGUAAAAGCCUACCAAGGCGACGAUCCAUAGCUGGUCUGAGAGGAUGAUCAGCCACACUGGGACUGAGACACGGCCCAGACUCCUACGGGAGGCAGCAGUGGGGAAUAUUGGACAAUGGGCGAAAGCCUGAUCCAGCAAUGCCGCGUGAGUGAUGAAGGCCUUAGGGUUGUAAAGCUCUUUUACCCGGGAUGAUAAUGACAGUACCGGGAGAAUAAGCUCCGGCUAACUCCGUG
Molecule: ribosomal RNA, 433 nt
Filed under: uncultured bacterium
Lineage: Bacteria
Description: partial 16S ribosomal RNA
Rfam family: Bacterial small subunit ribosomal RNA
Source: RNAcentral